Molecule: long non-coding RNA, 554 nt
Filed under: Brachypodium distachyon (stiff brome)
Lineage: Eukaryota; Viridiplantae; Streptophyta; Magnoliopsida; Poales; Poaceae
Description: long non-coding RNA (BDIS_LNC005995)
Source: RNAcentral
CGGGAGUGUUCUGCUGGGCACAGGGCACUGUUUCCCUUUCUAUUUUUCUUUUUCUUUUUCCUUCACACCUCGAUACUUGUUGGAUGGGGUCACAGGGGUACUACCUGCUACUGCACACACACGCUAACACACACCAGCACAUACACAUGCUUAUUUUUUUUCUUUCAUCUGUACGCUAAGUGCUAUUAGCUUAGGAAAAACUAGUGCAGGGUGUUGCAUGUAUGUCUUGUUUUUUAUUUUUUUCACUUAUUAGAAUUUCGAGUAGUAAAGUUUCAAAUAUGUUUAUGGAUUAAAUAUUAGGAGUUGACUCCGGACAAGUAGGACACCCUGACGGUGUUUCCGAGUUGAUCGGAGCGCUACCAGGCAAGUCGCAUCCCUUGAACAUGUCUUCGAAAAUGAUUUUAUGAAACUUGGCUUAUUUCGAAAUUCUUGCAUGCCACCCAAAAAUAAGAUUUAUAAUAAAUUUGUAAGUGGAUCCGGUGGAUCCACUAGUAUGGUCAGUACUAGGUAGGCCGACCCGGACAGGGUUACGGCUUAAGUGUAAUUCGGUGGGU